Molecule: ribosomal RNA, 194 nt
Filed under: uncultured Caenimonas sp.
Lineage: Bacteria; Pseudomonadati; Pseudomonadota; Betaproteobacteria; Burkholderiales; Comamonadaceae
Description: partial 16S ribosomal RNA
Rfam family: Bacterial small subunit ribosomal RNA
Source: RNAcentral
CCUACGGGAGGCAGCAGUGGGGAAUUUUGGACAAUGGGCGCAAGCCUGAUCCAGCCAUUCCGCGUGCAGGAUGAAGGCCCUCGGGUUGUAAACUGCUUUUGUACGGAACGAAACGCGCUGAGCUAAUACCUCGGCGUAAUGACGGUACCGUAAGAAUAAGCACCGGCUAACUACGUGCCAGCAGCCGCGGUAAU